GACAAUGCCGGAUGCAUAGACACCGUAGUCUAAAGUCUACACUUGCAUACUGUUCUGUGACAAAAGUUUUGUAAAUAUUGAUCGAGUUCUUUAAAAUCUUAUAUAAAAGAUUUUACAGUAAUUGCAUUCGUAACUUCAUUUAAAAGAAAAUGCUAAAAUUUCAAUGGAAUUAUUAACAAUGCCUAAGUCUAUACAAUGAUCUAGCCUCCAGUUACUUUAAGUGUCCUCAAUCAUUAUCAGUAGAUAUAUGUGGUGUAAUCAGUUCCAUCAGAUCUGUUCAUUUACAUUGGAUCUUGUUCGUAGCACAGCCUGCGUACAUGUACAACACAUAAAUAUCUGAUAAUAUAACCAUGGACCAAAUAGAACCACAUCUUGAUGUAACAAUAGAUGAAAACAAAAUUGUUGACGGUGCCAUAGAAAUUAUUAAAAAAAUAAGACCAACAUGGCA
This is a non-coding RNA of Megalopta genalis, 448 nucleotides long. Lineage: Eukaryota; Metazoa; Arthropoda; Insecta; Hymenoptera; Halictidae. The record is from RefSeq and is a predicted model, not a curated record.